Long non-coding RNA from Dermochelys coriacea (leatherback sea turtle), 234 nucleotides. RefSeq lists it as uncharacterized. NCBI's taxonomy places the organism in Eukaryota, Metazoa, Chordata, Testudines, Dermochelyidae. The transcript is spliced from 3 exons. The record is from RefSeq and is a predicted model, not a curated record.
CCUGGGGUGCAGCCUGGGACCAUGGGAGCACUGUGCCCCCUUAACUCUCCAGCCUGGGCUAUCUCUCACAAUGCUUUGCUAGUAACAAGCAGCAAACCCUUCUAGGUGCUGUUAUCACGUAGCACAACAGCACGUGGAGCCCUACGCCCAGUUAGAUUGCAUGAAUGCUCCCAGAGCCACUGAUGAAUCACACAGAGUAAGGCACCAGCCAAAUGUUCCCAGCUCCCUGCACUG